Molecule: ribosomal RNA, 433 nt
Filed under: uncultured bacterium
Lineage: Bacteria
Description: partial 16S ribosomal RNA
Rfam family: Bacterial small subunit ribosomal RNA
Source: RNAcentral
AACGAACGCUGGCGGCAGGCCUAACUCAUGCAAGUCGAGCGAGGACUUCGGUUCUAGCGGCGGACGGGUGAGUAACGCGUGGGAAUGUGCCCUUCUCUACGGAAUAGCCCUGGGAAACUGGGAGUAAUACCGUAUACGCCCUUUUGGGGAAAGAUUUAUCGGAGAAGGAUCAGCCCGCGUUGGAUUAGGUAGUUGGUGGGGUAAUGGCCUACCAAGCCGACGAUCCAUAGCUGGUUUGAGAGGAUGAUCAGCCACACUGGGACUGAGACACGGCCCAGACUCCUACGGGAGGCAGCAGUGGGGAAUCUUAGACAAUGGGGGCAACCCUGAUCUAGCCAUGCCGCGUGAGUGAUGAAGGCCUUAGGGUUGUAAAGCUCUUUCAGCUGGGAAGAUAAUGACGGUACCAGCAGAAGAAGCCCCGGCUAACUCCGUG